GUCUACGGUCAUGCUACCCUGAACAAGCUCGAUCCCAUCUGAUCUCAGAAUCUAAGCAGGGUUGGGCCUGGUUAGUGCUUGAAUAGAGACCACCUAGGAAGACCAGGUGCUGUCGGCG
RNAcentral lists this ribosomal RNA (118 nucleotides) under Pteropus alecto (black flying fox). Lineage: Eukaryota; Metazoa; Chordata; Mammalia; Chiroptera; Pteropodidae. The record is from RNAcentral.